Molecule: microRNA precursor, 62 nt
Filed under: Pelobates cultripes (western spadefoot toad)
Lineage: Eukaryota; Metazoa; Chordata; Amphibia; Anura; Pelobatidae
Source: RNAcentral
UAGUGUUGCAAUGUAAACAUUGCAGUUUCUCUGGAAGUGCAAUGUUUUACAUUGCAGCACUA